This 459-nucleotide ribosomal RNA is filed under the name uncultured bacterium. RNAcentral's name for it is "partial 16S ribosomal RNA". It matches the Rfam family "Bacterial small subunit ribosomal RNA", at positions 338 to 795 of the family's 1533-position model. The record is from RNAcentral.
CCUACGGGGUGCUGCAGUGAGGAAUAUUGGUCAAUGGGCGGAAGCCUGAACCAGCCAAGCAGCGUGCGGGAUGAAGGCGCUAAGGAUCGUAAACCGCUUUUGCCCGGGGAUAAAACCCUCCACUAGUGGCUGUCUGCAGGUACCGUGCGAAUAAGGGCCGGCUAAUUCCGUGCCAGCAGCCGCGGUAAUACGGAAGGCCCGAGCGUUAUCCGGAUUCAUUGGGCUUAAAGGGGGCGUAGGCGGGCGUUAAAGUCAGCUGUAAAAGCGCGCGGCUCAACCGCGCCCCGCAGUUGAAACUGGACGCCUUGAGUUCACAACAGGCAGGCGGAAUGCGGGGUGUAGCGGUGAAAUGCAUAGAUAUUGCGAGGAACCCCGAUUGCGAAGGCAGCCUGCCGGGGUGCGACUGACGCUGAGGCUCGAAGGUGCGGGUAUCAAACAGGAUUAGAUACCCGUGUAGUC